Molecule: non-coding RNA, 375 nt
Organism: Equus quagga
Lineage: Eukaryota; Metazoa; Chordata; Mammalia; Perissodactyla; Equidae
Source: the annotation of a RefSeq genome assembly
AUGUGCCACAGACUUCUCUGCUGUGUGGCCCUUUUUUUCUGGGGAGCAGGCUCCAUGGACACUAAGGUCACCCAGAGGCCUGGACAUCUAGUCAAAGGAAAGGAACAGAAAGCAAAGAUGGAUUGUUUCCCCAUAAAAACACAUAUUCAUGUUUAUUGGUAUCGCCGGAAGCUGGAAGGAGAGUUUGAGUUUUUGGUUUACGUAAGGAAUGGAGAGAUUACGGAUAAAAUAGAAGGGUUUGAUCAGCAGUUCUCAGUUGAACGGCCCCAAGAUGAACGCUACAGCCUGGAAAUCAAGUCCACUGAGCCAGGAGACCCAGCACUGUAUUUCUGUGCCAGCAGUGACUCCACAGUGCUGAAUGUGAGCUUUUCUUAG